This 559-nucleotide long non-coding RNA is filed under the name Anneissia japonica. Its description in RNAcentral is "uncharacterized LOC117104538". The record is from RNAcentral. Lineage: Eukaryota; Metazoa; Echinodermata; Crinoidea; Comatulida; Comatulidae.
GAUGAAAUUAGGUUAAAGAUUGUGGGAACCAGGGUAGAUGCCUCAGAUAUUUUUGCAAUUGGAUCACUCAUGGAUGAUUACCUCGGUCUUGUGAGCUAGAAGCUUUUGUUAUUAUUCGUAGGAAAUAUCCCAGCUGAAAAGUUGUUACUAUGACAGCAAUUGAUGGAUUCCUGUCAGAUAGAGAUAAUGGCAACCAGUGACAUCUUCACAGAUUUGAACUAGGCCAUUAACAAGCGGAUGUAAAUAUUGUGCUGCUUAGCAAAUUCUCUGAUGGGAAUCAUUGCAAAGAAUAGAACUUCUACAUGUACAUGUCAAAGACUCAAAGCCUAUGUUACUAAUAAGAUGUGACACACAUGUGUAAUGUGCUUUUGAAUCGAUGCACAAAGGCCUUGUUAUGCUGUACUUCUUUUGUAUUUGUUUGUUACAGUAUUUAUAUUCCAAGUUCUAAUUAGGAUUAUAGUUACUUGUGCAGGACGAAGAAGACAGAUCAAAGCAAUGUGGAUGAAUACUGUAUGUUGAGUGCCUGAUAGAGUGAAUAAAGAGAAAAAUAAAAAAUGUG